CCCGCACACUGACUCGGUACCGGUACCCCCUGUAUAUAGGCUCCACACUGACUCGGUACCGGUACCCCCUGUAUAUAGCCUCCACACUGACUAGGUACCGGUACCCCCUGUAUAUAGCCUCCACACUGACUCGGUACCGGUACCCCCUGUAUAUAGCCUCCACACUGACUCGGUACCGGUACCCCCUGUAUAUAGCCUCCACACUGACUCGGUACCGGUACCCCCUGUAUAUAGCCUCCACACUGACUAGGUACCGGUACCCCCUGUAUAUAGCCUCCACACUGACUCGGUACCGGUACCCCCUGUAUAUAGCCUCCACACUGACUCGGUACCAGUACCCCCUGUAUAUAGCCUCCACACUGACUCGGUACCAGUACCCCCUGUAUAUAGCCUCCACACUGACUCGGUACCGGUACCCCCCG
Molecule: long non-coding RNA, 422 nt
Organism: Oncorhynchus tshawytscha (Chinook salmon)
Lineage: Eukaryota; Metazoa; Chordata; Actinopteri; Salmoniformes; Salmonidae
Source: Ensembl